RNAcentral lists this ribosomal RNA (220 nucleotides) under uncultured bacterium. RNAcentral's name for it is "partial 16S ribosomal RNA". It matches the Rfam family "Bacterial small subunit ribosomal RNA", at positions 524 to 744 of the family's 1533-position model. The record is from RNAcentral.
UACGAAGGGUGCAAACGUUGCUCGGAAUUAUUGGGCGUAAAGCGCACGUAGGCGGCUUUUCAAGUCCCAUGUGAAAGCCCACGGCUUAACCGUGGAAGUGCAUGGGAAACUGGAAGCUUGAGUACUUAAGAGGAUCGCGGAAUUCCCGGUGUAGAGGUGAAAUUCGUAGAUAUCGGGAGGAACACCAGUGGCGAAGGCGGCGAUCUGGGAAGAUACUAAC